This is a long non-coding RNA of Manihot esculenta (cassava), 1656 nucleotides long. RefSeq lists it as uncharacterized. The transcript has 2 exons. Lineage: Eukaryota; Viridiplantae; Streptophyta; Magnoliopsida; Malpighiales; Euphorbiaceae. The record is from RefSeq and is a predicted model, not a curated record.
AUGGGAUAUGUGAACGUUAUUCAUGUUUAUUUGGGCCUAAUUUGGACCAGUUAAUGCGCCUAUUUCGAACUAAAAACGGUGCGUUUCGGUUUCGCUGGUCGUCUUCCUUGUAGCUUUCUUGAAAGCUGGGAGAAAAAAUGGUGAGAAUUCGGGUGAACUCGUGAAGCAUGGAUGAGGAGAGAGCCGUAAAGCAUUAGAGCUUCUGUACACUUAUCUAGCACUUUUAGAAUUGAAGAAAUCGGACAUGCAAUCGUCCAGAGUUCGAAACUUCACUACAGAAUCUAUCCCUUAAUGUUUAGUUAAGCUUCAACCUCCCAAAUCACCCUUCCAUGAACUCCGAUUGGUGAUUCCGAAUUUAUUUUUGCUUCAAUUUCUCGCCAUUAGAGUUUUGGUGGAUCAUUUGCAGGACCAGGUUAUGUAUAAGAAGGCUAUAUGCUGAGAGACAAUUGUCGAAGCAAUUGAGAUAAAGUUGAUGAAAAGAUGAAUAUUCCAAUCAAGUCCAGCAACCGGUCGGUACAUUUUUAGCGAGUACUGGAACUGAGUUUUUUCCCCUCUUUUAUUAGUUCAUGCUCUGUGUUUGAAUUCGAAAUUGAGAUGCAUUAAAAUUAACAAUCUAGGGAUUUUUUAUUUGUUUGCUUGAUAAUGAUUGAGAUACAUUAAAAUGGGAAGAAAAUAGUAGAUUCACUUGGAAAGACUUCAGAUUGAGCUCAUGCAAUUGUGUUUUUCCAGAUUUGGAAGUGUUUCAAGAAGAAACAACUCAGCUUUGUUGGCAGGGAAACAACUUGAGAGUGACAAACAGUUGUGUGCUUAUAUCAGAAUGAAUGAUAAAAAUAAGAUACCUAUGCAAGUGUUGGAAUCCAAUUCAACCAUGGGCCAAUUUUAGUCUUCAUGUUAUCCUACAUUUUGGGGUUAUUUUUUUCAAGAUUCUUAUAUUGCAAGUUUUGAAGUAGUGAUCAUAAUCUUGACUGGUUGAAAUUUAUAUGGAAUUUUAUUUAUUAGUUAAGCUUUAGAGCUAUAUAAACAGCACAUUAUGGUAUUUUAAGGUUAAUUAUUUGAGCUGUAUAGAAAGUUUCUUCCCAUUCAAUAGACGUUUCCUGUAUUCAUCAGUAUUUUUUCUCCAACAAGUCAUUGAUUCAAAGGAUUUCAUUGUCACAGAGUUAGAAAUUUAGGACCAUCAUUAUUCUUUUGUUUCUACAGAUUGUGCUGAGGUUGCAGCCACCCAACACAAAUCCUGCUCAGAUUUCUGCAAGUGGUGGAUCUCUGCUUUAGAGUUUGAUGUUUGUGCUUUUUGUAGAAGUGGGACCAUUACUUUUUCAGUGAGUCUAGUUGCCUGUCUCUUCUAAUCACUUGUAGUUUGUGCUCUUCCUGCACUAUGGAUUAGGAAAUUGACUCGGUGAUUGAAAGUGGCUGUGAUAAAUCAAUCGAUAAAGGGGAUACCUUCACAAAUAAGCUACUGAUCUCUGGUGCAUAUUCUAAAUUUAAUGCUGCCAGGAGCGAAGAAUGCCUGAAAAGUUGAUGGAUUUUAUGUAAAUUAACACCAGACUGGGUGAAAAAUGCUGUGUUCAUUGGUUGCAUAACUUGCACUGAUGUAUCGGAACAAAUUCAGAAUUGAAGUUGUGUUUAGUGAAAACUUAUACAAAGAGAACUUUAUAAUUA